AUAAAUAACCCAUUGCUUUUCAGCAUUUGUAUUUGAAAGAAAUGAAAAGGAUAUUUAUUGGGAAGCCUUUGAGACACACAUGGUUCAUCAUUUUUUAAGAAGACAUGGAAUUGGAUUUAAAUAAAAGAUAAUCCGUGUAACCUAACCUGGAAACGUGGAUAAAGAGAGGAUUACAAUAAUCUUUGAUGAAAUUCUGAGUUUCUUCCUGAUAAACCUUGAUUUGGAGUGGAUUACUUUAUUUUUAAUAUUGUUUUCCUACCAACAACUUAAUCCAAAGUCUAUGAUCUAAGAAAAACUAUUACGAUGUUUUGUAUUCUGAUUGAAGAUGAAAUAUUCAGUGGAUGAUUUCAAUGCAAGAUGAUCUUAAUUGGACGAACUUGCAUAUUGAAGAAAACUUGGAAUUUGUAAUAAAAUUACCAAAUGUCUUCAUUCUAUCCUGAAGUCAAAUGAUUAGAAACGACCAUUUAUCAGAAUGUUAACAUUAUAAAUCUGAUGAGGGCGUAUUCUCUAAGGGUUAUAGAAUUAUAUCAUAAAAUUCUGCCUCUGAUUUUCUGUGAAUGGAGCUUUUGUGUGUCUCAAAUACAUCUCUUGAAUAUUCUUUUUGUGCUAUCAAAUAUGUGAAGUUGUGAAGACUUUUUUUUUCUAAAUGAUGGUUUGUA
Long non-coding RNA from Nicrophorus vespilloides, 659 nucleotides. RefSeq lists it as uncharacterized. The transcript has 9 exons. Lineage: Eukaryota; Metazoa; Arthropoda; Insecta; Coleoptera; Silphidae. The record is from RefSeq and is a predicted model, not a curated record.